Molecule: ribosomal RNA, 427 nt
Filed under: uncultured bacterium
Lineage: Bacteria
Description: partial 16S ribosomal RNA
Rfam family: Bacterial small subunit ribosomal RNA
Source: RNAcentral
GUGGGGAAUAUUGGGCAAUGGGGGAAACCCUGACCCAGCGACGCCGCGUGAGGGAAGAAGGCCUUAGGGUCGUAAACCUCUGUUGUGUGGGAAGAAGAGCGUGACGGUACCACACGAGGAAGUCCCGGCUAACUACGUGCCAGCAGCCGCGGUAAUACGUAGGGGACGAGCGUUGUCCGGAUUUACUGGGCGUAAAGGGCGCGUAGGCGGUCAUUUAAGUCAGCUGUGAAAUGGUGCGGCUUAACCGCAUCAUGCGGUUGAAACUGGAUGACUGGAGUGCUGGAGAGGCAAGUGGAAUUCCCAGUGUAGCGGUGAAAUGCGUAGAUAUUGGGAAGAACACCGGUGGCGAAGGCGACUUGCUGGCCAGCAACUGACGCUGAGGCGCGAAAGCCAGGGGAGCAAACGGGAUUAGAAACCCUAGUAGUCC